This 561-nucleotide ribosomal RNA is filed under the name uncultured bacterium. RNAcentral's name for it is "bacterial SSU rRNA". It matches the Rfam family "Bacterial small subunit ribosomal RNA", at positions 8 to 559 of the family's 1533-position model. The record is from RNAcentral.
AGAGUUUGAUCAUGGCUCAGAUUGAACGCUGGCGGCAUGCCUAACACAUGCAAGUCGAACGGAAACGAUGGGAGCUUGCUCCCAGGCGUCGAGUGGCGGACGGGUGAGUAACACAUAGGAAUCUGCCCAGUAGCGGGGGACAACUUGGGGAAACUCAAGCUAAUACCGCAUACGCCCUACGGGGGAAAGCAGGGGAUCUUCGGACCUUGCACUAUUGGAUGAGCCUAUGUCAGAUUAGCUUGUUGGUGGGGUAACGGCCUACCAAGGCGACGAUCUGUAGCUGGUCUGAGAGGACGAUCAGCCACACUGGGACUGAGACACGGCCCAGACUCCUACGGGAGGCAGCAGUGGGGAAUAUUGCACAAUGGGGGAAACCCUGAUGCAGCAAUGCCGCGUGUGUGAAGAAGGCCUGCGGGUUGUAAAGCACUUUCAGUAGGGAGGAAACAGUCACGGGUUAAUAUCCCGUGGCCUUGACGUUACCUACAGAAGAAGCACCGGCUAACUCUGUGCCAGCAGCCGCGGUAAUACAGAGGGUGCGAGCGUUAAUCGGAAUUACUGGGC